CCGACCUUAGCUCAGUUGGAAGAGCGCGAGACUGUAAUGGGAAAAACCGAUCAUCUUGAGGUCGCCUGUUCGAACCAGGCAGGUCGGA
Molecule: non-coding RNA, 88 nt
Organism: Pisolithus marmoratus
Lineage: Eukaryota; Fungi; Basidiomycota; Agaricomycetes; Boletales; Pisolithaceae
Source: the annotation of a GenBank genome assembly